Molecule: ribosomal RNA, 497 nt
Filed under: uncultured bacterium
Lineage: Bacteria
Description: partial 16S ribosomal RNA
Rfam family: Bacterial small subunit ribosomal RNA
Source: RNAcentral
GAUGAACGCUGGCGGCGUGCCUAAUACAUGCAAGUCGAGCGAACAGACGAGGAGCUUGCUCCUCUGACGUUAGCGGCGGACGGGUGAGUAACACGUGGAUAACCUACCUAUAAGACUGGGAUAACUUCGGGAAACCGGAGCUAAUACCGGAUAAUAUAUUGAACCGCAUGGUUCAAUAGUGAAAGACGGUUUUGCUGUCUCUUAUAGAUGGAUCCGCGCCGCAUUAGCUAGUUGGUAAGGUAACGGCUUACCAAGGCAACGAUGCGUAGCCGACCUGAGAGGGUGAUCGGCCACACUGGAACUGAGACACGGUCCAGACUCCUACGGGAGGCAGCAGUAGGGAAUCUUACGCAAUGGGCGAAAGCCUGACGGAGCAACGCCGCGUGAGUGAUGAAGGUCUUCGGAUCGUAAAACUCUGUUAUUAGGGAAGAACAAAUGUGUAAGUAACUAUGCACGUCUUGACGGUACCUAAUCAGAAAGCCACGGCUAACUACGUG